AACGGCCAGGCAGCGGCCCGGGCCUGCAGCGGUCGUUGGUCGUCGGCGUAAGCGUGUCAGGAAAAUAACACGAAAUGCAGCACAGGUGAAUGAGAAUCAAGCAGAUUCUCCUGAAACACAUCCGCAAGCUGAAGGCAGAGAAGGCCUGCAAGAAGCCCCUGGCUAACCAGAUAGGCCCCCAAGGUUAAGACCAAGGAAGUACAGGAGUGCCCCGAGGAGCCACUUCAGGCCAAGAAGGAGGUAACCAAGACUCUGUCCAAGCAGGAAGAGAUGAAGACAUGAAGGCCCCCCUCUCUUAUAAACACACAAGGAAGAUGAAACAUUUAAUAAAAGGAGAAAAUACGGGCCAGGUGCGGUGGCUCACACCUGUAAUCCUAGCACUUUGGGAGGCCAAG
Molecule: long non-coding RNA, 395 nt
Filed under: Homo sapiens (human)
Lineage: Eukaryota; Metazoa; Chordata; Mammalia; Primates; Hominidae
Description: HSALNT0323040
Source: RNAcentral